This 403-nucleotide small RNA is filed under the name Pan troglodytes (chimpanzee). Its description in RNAcentral is "processed transcript". The record is from RNAcentral. Lineage: Eukaryota; Metazoa; Chordata; Mammalia; Primates; Hominidae.
CCCUCCUCUUCCCCAGAUUACUACUUUGUAACCAGGGAGGUGAUGCAGCGUGACAUAGCAGCCGGCGACUUCAUCGAGCAUGCCGAGUUCUCGGGGAACCUGUAUGGCACGAGGUGGCGGUGCAGGCUGUGCAGGCCAUGAACCGCAUCUGUGUGCUGGACGUGGACCUGCAGGGUGUGCGGAACAUCAAGGCCACCGAUCUGCAGCCCAUCUACAUCUCUGUGCAGCCACCUUCACUGCAUGUGCUGGUGUGUGCUGGGCAGGGUUGGGGGCUGGGGGCCAGGGCAUGCCAGGCUCUGAUUGCCACCCCCUUUUUAGGAGCAGCGGCUGCGGCAGCGCAACACUGAAACGGAGGAGAGCCUGGUGAAGCGGCUGGCUGCUGCCCAGGCCGACAUGGAGAGCA